GGCCCCGGGGGCGCCCGUUGGGUCCGGGGCCUCCGGCGUCUCAGGAGUGUUCGGUGCGGGGCCGGCCGGGGCCG
This 74-nucleotide transfer RNA is filed under the name Streptomyces cavourensis. Its description in RNAcentral is "tRNA-Arg". Lineage: Bacteria; Bacillati; Actinomycetota; Actinomycetes; Kitasatosporales; Streptomycetaceae. The record is from RNAcentral.